This 2667-nucleotide long non-coding RNA is filed under the name Betta splendens (Siamese fighting fish). RNAcentral describes it as "lncRNA (ENSBSLG00000023252.1)". Lineage: Eukaryota; Metazoa; Chordata; Actinopteri; Anabantiformes; Osphronemidae. The record is from RNAcentral.
AUGUUUGAUAAGGUUAAUGUCAAACAGUUACUAGACUUCAUGUUCACAGACAGAUUCAUCUUGCCCUUAAUCUCUAUGUCAUUUUUUAACCAGGUUGCUCUCGCCCUUAUUACAGGACGUAAACUUUUUUUCAUCACGCAGCAGCUGAUGUUGACUGUGUCUCCCUCCAUCACAGAAUAAUGAGGAGUGAAACGAUGCUGUCCUGAUGAAAGACCUGCAAAUAAAUGACGAGAGGCCACAGACAGAGAGGAGCAGCAGCCCAGUCAGAGGCUUCAUCCUUCUACACUGACUCACAUCUGUACACUGCGCAGCCCUCACGCCUCAAACUCAGGCUUCACACAAGCAUCUUUUCUCUCUGUUUCUAAUAGCGGAAGUGUUUAAAGCCGCAAUAUCUGCUCCUCCUUCACAGCUGUCAGAUGGCUCCACAGUGAAGUGGAAGGUGGUAUUUUAAUAAUAAGGAUGUUCAGAGACAUGAUGCAACCUCGUAUCCUAAAAGCUCCAGCAAAGAGGAGCACAUAAACCUCCUGGAGCAGGUCUAACUCUUCAAACCAGCUCAUUGUUGUCACACAUUGUUGUCAUUUAUCCUUCACUGUGACCACAUGCUAGUCAGCCAGCUGUAGCACACUCAAAGCAGCGCUGGCAGGGUGGGACAGGUUAGUGUCAGAACCUUCUCUGAAUGGAGUUUUAAAAAGAUAGUAACCAAAGUAAUGUUUAAUAGUUAGUAAUAGUAACGGCAAUAGUAAUUAGCGAUUAUGUAUGAAUAUCUAUCAGCACAUUAUAAGCAGGGCUGAAGGAUUUUUAAACUCUGGUGGUUUACAAGCAGAGUUUAGAAAUCCUUCAGCCCACAUGUGAUUACUCAGCUAGUGAUUUAAAAUGUUUGCGUUUUUGUCCCAUUUCAUCAGUGAGAAACCACAACAGGCAUCGUGUGAGCUUCCAUGCUGUACAUUUAUUGACACACACGUGUCUUCAGCCAGAUCACUGAGAGUCUGUCAAAGGUCCCCGUCCAGCAGCAGGAGAUGUUUGCUGCCCCCCACUCCGUCACAGAGACGGCAGGAGUCUGAGUGACAACCAGCUUGUCUGGAACUCCUGUAGAAACACAGAUACAUGAUGACAGUUGAGUCGGUCUGUUGAAAUUCUUCCAGAUUUUACAUAUUACAGUUUCCCCAUGGACGCUAAGCAGUUAAAGGUUCCUGAACUCUUGUUUUUUGAGUAUGUUUGUCUUCUGUUAAACCUUAAAUUAUCUUAGCCAUGCGUUGCUCUGUAUACAAGACAUGCAUUAGCUCCUGUCUAUGCCUAGCCUAGCCUUAGCAUCUGUCCAUGUCUAGCCUAACCUUAGCAUCUGUCCAUGUCUAGCCUAGCCUUAGCAUCUGUCCAUGUCUAGCUUAGCCUUAGCAUCUGUCCAUGCCUAGCCUAGCCUUAGCAUCUGUCCAUGUCUAGCUUAGCCUUAGCAUCUGUCCAUGUCUAGCCUAGCCUUUGCAUCUGUCCAUGUCUAGCCUAGCCUCAGCAUCUGUCCAUGUCUAGCCUAACCUUAGCAUCUGUCCAUAUCUAGCUUAGCCUUAGCAUCUGUCCAUGUCUAGCCUAGCCUUAGCAUCUGUCCAUGCCUAGCUUAGCCUUAGCAUCUGUCCAUGUCUAGCCUAGCCUCAGCAUCUGUCCAUGUCUAGCCUAGCCUUAGCAUCUGUCCAUGUCUAGCUUAGCCUUAGCAUCUGUCCAUGUCUAGCCUAGCCUUAACAUCUGUCCAUGUCUAGCUUAGCCUUAGCAUCUGUCCAUGUCAUGCCUAGCUUCAUUUGUUCAUGUCGUGCCUUUGCCUCGUUUGUUCAUGUCGUGCCUUAGCUUGCUAGUUAUUUAGUUUUGUUUAUUCAGUAUACUAUUCACUUAGUGCUUUCGUCCUCCUGGUUUAUCUUAGUUUAUUUUUGAAGGCGUGUUUUGUGUUCAACUUUGGAUUAAAGAGACUGCCUUUUCCAUUACUUUGGUUUCCCUGGCUCUGACUCUGUCCAAAUGGACCUUCGAGCAUUUAAGCCACCAUCUUGUAUGGUGGGUCAUAACAAUAUGAGGUAAAAGACAAUACAAGAGGAAGGAAGAGUUGGGGGCUCAAUAUCUGCCUCGACAUUAAAAAUAUGGUACAAAAGUGUAAAAAACUAACAUUCAAGACAAAAUUAAGUCACUUAGUGUCAGGUUUUGCUCUCGGCUUGACAAAGCAGACCAACAUGCAUGGCACAGAUAUCAAUAGUGUUUUUAUUGUGCACGUUCUCGGUACAGGUAGAGCACAGUCUGGUGACUUACGUACAGAACCUCUUUGAUGAGGAUUAGGCAAAAACGGGGGUCAGACAGGCAAGGUCGGCAACAGUGAAACUCGCAUGUGAGGAAAAGGCGGAGUUGGCGUUGGGUAACAGGCAGUGGUCGAUAACAGGCUCGGCUGAGGUACGGAAGGACUAGGCUAGAGGCAAGGCCAGGAACAGAACUGGUGACUAGACUGGAUCAGGAAGUGCUGGAAAGCGGAACUGAAUCAAUGAUAAUCUGGCAACUGGCAGAGGUGAGGACUGGGUGUUAGAUUCUGGGAAUGAUUACUAAUUGCAGACAGCUGAUGUGGUGAACCGGAAGUAACAUUAGCGCAAGGCAUGGACUGAACAGAAAUGGAAAUGCAACACAAUAAAAUUGGAAAUGAAACCA